CACCUUCCUCCGUCGGUUUCCUCCUGGAACCGCCCUCUCGGCAUUUCGACCGCCACACGACCGUUGACAGCGGGGCCCGUGCGGUCG
RNAcentral lists this transfer RNA (87 nucleotides) under Streptomyces hygroscopicus subsp. jinggangensis TL01. RNAcentral describes it as "tRNA-Leu". The record is from RNAcentral. Lineage: Bacteria; Bacillati; Actinomycetota; Actinomycetes; Kitasatosporales; Streptomycetaceae.